GUCUAUUGGGCUCUGUCAGGAGGGCAUCAGACUCUUAAUCUCAGGGUCGUGAGUUCGAGCCCCACAUUGGGCA
This is a non-coding RNA of Podarcis lilfordi (Lilford's wall lizard), 73 nucleotides long. Lineage: Eukaryota; Metazoa; Chordata; Lepidosauria; Squamata; Lacertidae. The record is from the annotation of a GenBank genome assembly.